CCUACGGGAGGCUGCAGUGAGGAAUAUUGGUCAAUGGACGCAAGUCUGAACCAGCCAUGCCGCGUGCAGGAAGACGGCUCUAUGAGUUGUAAACUUCUUUUGUACGAGGGUAAACGCAGGUACGCGUAUCUGUCUGAGAGUAUCGUACGAAUAAGGAUCGGCUAACUCCGUGCCAGCAGCCGCGGUAAUACGGAAGAUCCGGGCGUUAUCCGGAUUUAUUGGGUUUAAAGGGAGCGUAGGCCGGCUUUUAAGUCAGCUGUGAAAGUCCGCGGCUCAACCGUGGAAGUGCAGUUGAAACUGGAUGUCUUGAGUGCACACAGUGAAGCCGGAAUUCAUGGUGUAGCGGUGAAAUGCUUAGAUAUCAUGAAGAACUCCGAUCGCGAAGGCAAGAGUCCGGGGUGCAACUGACGCUGAGGCUCGAAAGUGCGGGUAUCAAACAGGAUUAGAUACCCCAGUAGUC
This 460-nucleotide ribosomal RNA is filed under the name uncultured bacterium. RNAcentral's name for it is "partial 16S ribosomal RNA". It matches the Rfam family "Bacterial small subunit ribosomal RNA", at positions 338 to 795 of the family's 1533-position model. The record is from RNAcentral.